Biomphalaria glabrata is the source of this 1275-nucleotide long non-coding RNA. RefSeq lists it as uncharacterized. The transcript has 2 exons. The record is from RefSeq and is a predicted model, not a curated record. Lineage: Eukaryota; Metazoa; Mollusca; Gastropoda; Planorbidae.
GCUGGAUCUAGACCUAAACCUCAACGAUAUACAUCAGCUGUUAAAUUUCUAGAAAAAUCGUUAGAGACGUUUUUGAGAUCAGCGUCCAAGUUCCUGUAGGCUCAAGCUUACAUAAAGCUCAUUGUUGACUACGUGGGUAUGGUGACGUGUAUAUGUAGAACUAAUGCCUUUCGUGUAAUAGGCCUGCAGUUUGAUGAACUUCAUCGCCUCUCAUCACUCCAGUGUGUCUGUUUAUUUACAAGGACACCUUAGCGCUAGCAUUCAACUAAUGUUUCUUCUGUCACCAUGGGAACGCUUCUCUCUAGGACAGCGGGUAAAAUAACACCGAACAUUAUUAACAUAAACACACCCACUCAAGCACACACACACAGAAAUCAGAAUCAAGAAACACUAGUGGAGCUCUAUGAAUGUCAUCCCAGGGCUACCACCACACAGAUCUCCAUUUCCCAUCUUCGAGUGUAUUUGUUCCUAGCCCUCUACCGUGGCCUCGUCUCAUUAGACGACUAAUUGCGUCAAACAACUCGUGUUUUUCCAGGAUCUGGCCAGAGAAAACAGAAGAGACGAGCCAUAGGAUCUGUGGAAACGCGACUCCAUUACCCUGGAUCACACGUUCAGGUGGUGGGACAAAUAACCCAGCUCUUAGGUCGUGACACACUUUGGAAGGACUCACCGUUUUUGUUUUAAGAGGGCCCUGUCAAUAUCUUUGUUGAGAGUCAGAGGUCAAGUUCUGAAGAUUAUUGGAUAUUAGUAUUUAAUUAUUCAGAUUAGGCAUUUUGUUUGUUUGUUUGUUUUGUCAGAAUAAUAUUAGAUCUACGUAUGUGUGUCUGCAAACGUGUGUGUGUACUUGUGUAUGAGUGUGUGUGUUUAUAUUUUACUGCGUAUGUGUGUACGUGAAGUGUAGUUCCAUAUAUGAGACAACAGUUCAAGAUUUUCAAUACAAAGCUUUGCUCGAGUGUUAGGGUGUACACUAUUCAUACGAUAGUAUUCAGUUCCAAUCCACUAUUUAUUAAAGACACAAAAGCAAUGCCUGGUGAGCCGUUGAAAUGUUCAACUCACGGACCACAGAAAAACUUGUCGAGUUUAUUGGAUGCCAUCCUCUCGUACAACGUGGCCAGAAAUUUCAAGGAGGCCAGAUAGCACAGAGCCAAGGGUCGAAUAUGACCGCAAGCUCGUAGUCUGUGUACCCCUGAGAUAUUUAAUAGCUUUUGUAGGAUUUACUGUUGUGUUUUCAUAAGUAAAGAAGCAAUGUAUAAAACUUAAAAAAAAAAAUAGAAA